AAGACCUUAUGCUUUUGGAGCGGCCGAUGUCUGAUUAGCUAGUUGGUAAGGUAAUGGCUUACCAAGGCGACGAUCAGUAGUUGGUCUGAGAGGACGGCCAGCCACACUGGGACUGAGACACGGCCCAGACUCCUACGGGAGGCAGCAGUGGGGAAUUUUGGACAAUGGGCGCAAGCCUGAUCCAGCAAUGCCGCGUGCAGGAUGAAGGCCUUCGGGUUGUAAACUGCUUUUGUACGGAACGAAACGGUUACSAUUAAUACCGUAACUACUGACGGUACCGGAAGAAGAAGCACCGGCUAACUACGUGCCAGCAGCCGCGGUAAUACGUAGGGUGCGAGCGUUAAUCGGAAUUACUGGGCGUAAAGCGUGCGCAGGUGGUUUUGUAAGUCAGAUGUGAAAUCCCCGGGCUUAACCUGGGAACU
RNAcentral lists this ribosomal RNA (422 nucleotides) under uncultured bacterium. RNAcentral describes it as "bacterial SSU rRNA". It matches the Rfam family "Bacterial small subunit ribosomal RNA", at positions 207 to 622 of the family's 1533-position model. The record is from RNAcentral.